RNAcentral lists this transfer RNA (88 nucleotides) under Sulfuricella sp. RNAcentral describes it as "tRNA-Ser". It matches the Rfam family "tRNA". From Rfam's summary of the family: Transfer RNA (tRNA) molecules are approximately 80 nucleotides in length. Their secondary structure includes four short double-helical elements and three loops (D, anti-codon, and T loops). Further hydrogen bonds mediate the characteristic L-shaped molecular structure. tRNAs have two regions of fundamental functional importance: the anti-codon, which is responsible for specific mRNA codon recognition, and the 3' end, to which the tRNAs corresponding amino acid is attached (by aminoacyl-tRNA synthetases). tRNAs cope with the degeneracy of the genetic code in two manners: having more than one tRNA (with a specific anti-codon) for a particular amino acid; and 'wobble' base-pairing, i.e. permitting non-standard base-pairing at the 3rd anti-codon position. RNAcentral also lists the same sequence under 1 other name. The record is from RNAcentral. Lineage: Bacteria; Pseudomonadati; Pseudomonadota; Betaproteobacteria; Nitrosomonadales; Sulfuricellaceae.
GGAGACUUGGGUGAGUGGUUUAAACCAGCAGUCUUGAAAACUGCCGACGAGCAAUCGUCCGUGAGUUCGAAUCUCACAGUCUCCGCCA